This 253-nucleotide ribosomal RNA is filed under the name uncultured bacterium. RNAcentral's name for it is "partial 16S ribosomal RNA". It matches the Rfam family "Bacterial small subunit ribosomal RNA", at positions 524 to 776 of the family's 1533-position model. The record is from RNAcentral.
UACGGAGGGGGUUAGCGUUGUUCGGAAUUACUGGGCGUAAAGCGCACGUAGGCGGAUCAGAAAGUCAGAGGUGAAAUCCCAGAGCUCAACUUUGGAACUGCCUUUGAAACUCCCAGUCUUGAGGUCGAGAGAGGUGAGUGGAAUUCCGAGUGUAGAGGUGAAAUUCGUAGAUAUUCGGAGGAACACCAGUGGCGAAGGCGGCUCACUGGCUCGAUACUGACGCUGAGGUGCGAAAGCGUGGGGAGCAAACAGG